CUGCCAGGUGAGAGGCUCAGCUGCGUCUCUCGGGGGCCUUAAAGCUUCUUUUUUUGGAAAGUGGCUUUUAUGGUCGGGCCACGGUAUAAUUUGCCCUGCCCAGUGAGGGCAGCUGCUGAGGAAUGCAGGGGAGGAAGAACCUGAGACAGCGCCACGUUCCUGGUAAUAUAGUCCCAUGAUCCCACACAAAGAAGAUUCCUGGCCGGGCACAAUGGCUCACACCUCUAAUGCCAGCACUUUGGGAGGCCGAGGAGGGAAGAUCACUUGAGCUCAAGAGUUCGAGACCAGCGUGGGCAACAUAG
Molecule: long non-coding RNA, 302 nt
Filed under: Homo sapiens (human)
Lineage: Eukaryota; Metazoa; Chordata; Mammalia; Primates; Hominidae
Description: non-protein coding lnc-POLR3H-1:1
Source: RNAcentral